GACAGAGGGUGCAAACGUUGUUCGGAAUUACUGGGCGUAAAGCGCGUGUAGGCGGCUGCGCAAGUCGGAUGUGAAAUCCCAUGGCUCAACCAUGGAAGUGCACCCGAAACUGCGUAGCUAGAGUCUCGGAGAGGAAGGCGGAAUGCUUGGUGUAGAGGUGAAAUUCGUAGAUAUCAAGCAGAACACCGGUGGCGAAGGCGGCCUCUGGACGAUGACUGACGCUGAGACGCGAAAAGCGUGGGGAGCAAACAGG
Molecule: ribosomal RNA, 253 nt
Filed under: uncultured bacterium
Lineage: Bacteria
Description: partial 16S ribosomal RNA
Rfam family: Bacterial small subunit ribosomal RNA
Source: RNAcentral